This 75-nucleotide transfer RNA is filed under the name candidate division WWE3 bacterium CG10_big_fil_rev_8_21_14_0_10_32_10. Its description in RNAcentral is "tRNA-Gly". It matches the Rfam family "tRNA". Rfam says of the family: Transfer RNA (tRNA) molecules are approximately 80 nucleotides in length. Their secondary structure includes four short double-helical elements and three loops (D, anti-codon, and T loops). The record is from RNAcentral. Lineage: Bacteria; candidate division WWE3.
GCGGGUAUCGUAUAAUGGUUAUUACGUCUGGUUGCCAAUCAGAGAAUGGGGGUUCGAUUCCCCCUACCCGCUCCA